ACACGUGGGCAAUCUGCCCUUCACUCUGGGACAAGCCCUGGAAACGGGGUCUAAUACCGGAUAACACUCUGUCCCGCAUGGGACGGGGUUAAAAGCUCCGGCGGUGAAGGAUGAGCCCGCGGCCUAUCAGCUUGUUGGUGGGGUAAUGGCCUACCAAGGCGACGACGGGUAGCCGGCCUGAGAGGGCGACCGGCCACACUGGGACUGAGACACGGCCCAGACUCCUACGGGAGGCAGCAGUGGGGAAUAUUGCACAAUGGGGCGAAAGC
This 269-nucleotide ribosomal RNA is filed under the name Streptomyces griseus. RNAcentral describes it as "partial 16S ribosomal RNA". It matches the Rfam family "Bacterial small subunit ribosomal RNA", at positions 113 to 382 of the family's 1533-position model. The record is from RNAcentral. Lineage: Bacteria; Bacillati; Actinomycetota; Actinomycetes; Kitasatosporales; Streptomycetaceae.